Molecule: ribosomal RNA, 497 nt
Filed under: uncultured bacterium
Lineage: Bacteria
Description: partial 16S ribosomal RNA
Rfam family: Bacterial small subunit ribosomal RNA
Source: RNAcentral
GAUGAACGCUGGCGGCGUGCCUAAUACAUGCAAGUCGAGCGAACAGACGAUGAGCUGGCUCCUCUGGCGUUAGCGGCGGACGGGUGAGUAACAUGUGGAUAACCUACCUAUAAGACUGGGAUAACUACGUGAAACCGGUGCUAAUACCGUAUAAUAUAUUCAACCGGAGGGUUCAAUAGUGAAAGAGGGUUUUGCUGUCACUUAGAGAUGUAUCCUCGUCGCAUUAGCUAGUUGGUAAGGUAACGGCUUACCAAGGCAACGAUGCGUAGCCGACCUGAGAGCGUGAUCGGCCACACUGGAACUGAGACACGGUCCAGAGUCCUACGGGCGGCCGCAGUAGGGAAUCUUGGGAGAUGGGCGAAAGAUUGACGGAUCAACGCAGCGUGGGUGCAGAAGGUCUGCGGAUCGUAUAACGCUGUUAUUGGGGAAGAACAAAUGCAUCAGUAACUAUGCACGUUUUGACGGUACCUAAAGAGGAAGCAACGGCUAACUACGUG